GACGAACGCUGGCGGCGUGCUUAACACAUGCAAGUCGAACGAUGAAGCGGCCAGCUUGCUGGUGGUGGAUUAGUGGCGAACGGGUGAGUAACACGUGAGUAACCUGUCCUUCACUCUGGGAUAAGCCCUGGAAACGGGGUCUAAUACUAGAUAUUCUCAAUGUGCCGCAUGGUGUGUUGUGGAAAGAUUUUUUGGUGAGGGUUGGACUCGCGGCCUAUCAGCUUGUUGGUGGGGUAACGGCCUACCAAGGCAACGAUGGGUAGCUGGUCUGAGAGGACGAUCAGCCACACUGGGACUGAGACACGGCCCAGACUCCUACGGGAGGCAGCAGUGGGGAAUCUUGCGCAAUGCGCGAAAGCGUGACGCAGCAACGCCGCGUGGGGGAAGACGGCCUUCGGGUUGUAAACCCCUUUCAGGAGGGACGAAGGUUCGCCGGUGAAUAGCCGUGCGGAUUGACGGUACCUCCACAAGAAGCUCCGGCUAACUACGUGCCAGCAGCCGCAGUAAUAC
This 510-nucleotide ribosomal RNA is filed under the name uncultured bacterium. RNAcentral describes it as "bacterial SSU rRNA". It matches the Rfam family "Bacterial small subunit ribosomal RNA", at positions 28 to 526 of the family's 1533-position model. The record is from RNAcentral.